GUUAGACGAGAAAGGAUCCGGCUUCUAGUACUUCAGUCUACACUUUUUCUUUGAAUUAGAAAUCAAACUCCGUCUUGAUAAGCGUAGAACACACCCCUAACCAGCCAUGCAUCGUUCUAUCUUUACCUUUCAACCAUGAUUUUUCAGCACUGGUAGCUAUAUAAAAUGCCACCCCUAUAUUCUGUACACAUAUAGCGUAGGCCAAUACCACCUCCUUCCAUCGAACGGUUUCACCGAGGUUGUUCACCGACUGAAACUGAUUGAUUUGACCAUGACUCCACCAAUUACUUGAUGUUCCUUUUUUCCUUUGGGAAUUGCUUGAUGUUGUCUUUUUCUACGUAAAGGAUCAGAUCGAUUAUAAAGAUUCAUCGGAAAUACAAAGCGUCACAAAAAUAAUAAAAAUCACAUCAAGGUCAUGGACCACUGCUGCCGUCAGAACAAGUCGUCAAUGUGUCGCCCGAAUACGGGAGCUUGUUUGACCUCCUCAUUAUUAGACGAAAAAAUGGAUUGAUAUUUCGGACAGUUUUUUGGUAGCAUGUCCUUUAUUUUUCUUCCUUGUUUUUAUUAUUCCAGUUGGUUUUUUUAAUGCUCAC
This 593-nucleotide long non-coding RNA is filed under the name Hordeum vulgare. RNAcentral's name for it is "long non-coding RNA (HVUL_LNC000244)". The record is from RNAcentral. Lineage: Eukaryota; Viridiplantae; Streptophyta; Magnoliopsida; Poales; Poaceae.